RNAcentral lists this ribosomal RNA (250 nucleotides) under uncultured Halobacteria archaeon. RNAcentral describes it as "partial 16S ribosomal RNA". It matches the Rfam family "Archaeal small subunit ribosomal RNA", at positions 474 to 723 of the family's 1478-position model. Lineage: Archaea; Methanobacteriati; Methanobacteriota; Halobacteria. The record is from RNAcentral.
UACCGGCAGCUCGAGUGAUGUCCCAUAUUAUUGGGCCUAAAGCGUCCGUAGCUGGCCAGCCAAGUUCGUCGGGAAAUCCACCCGCUCAACGGGUGGGCGUCCGGCGAAAACUGGCUGGCUUGGAACCGGAAGGCUCAGAGAGUACGUCGAGGGUAGGAGUGAAAUCCCGUAAUCCUCGACGGACUACCGAUGGCGAAAGCACUCUGAGAAGACGGCUUCGACAGUGAGGGACGAAAGCUAGGGUCUCAAA